Molecule: transfer RNA, 76 nt
Filed under: Gammaproteobacteria bacterium
Lineage: Bacteria; Pseudomonadati; Pseudomonadota; Gammaproteobacteria
Description: tRNA-Ala
Rfam family: tRNA
About the family: Transfer RNA (tRNA) molecules are approximately 80 nucleotides in length.
Source: RNAcentral
GGGGCUGUAGCUCAGCUGGGAGAGCGCCUGAAUGGCACGCAGGAGGUCAGCGGUUCGAUCCCGCUCAGCUCCACCA